ACGCAUACCUGGCAUGGGAGAUACCAUUAUUGUAAAAGUGGUUUUCCCAGGGUAAGGCUCAUCUAUUGCACUUUGGAUGUGCUGAUCCCUGUGAUUCCCCCAAAUGUGGGAAAAUCAACUGCCUAAUUUGUGGUAGUGGGGGACUUUAUUUGUGGUUUCCCCUG
Small nuclear RNA from Pogona vitticeps (central bearded dragon), 164 nucleotides. Its record names the gene U1. It matches the Rfam family "U1 spliceosomal RNA". From Rfam's summary of the family: U1 is a small nuclear RNA (snRNA) component of the spliceosome (involved in pre-mRNA splicing). Its 5' end forms complementary base pairs with the 5' splice junction, thus defining the 5' donor site of an intron. The record is from Ensembl. Lineage: Eukaryota; Metazoa; Chordata; Lepidosauria; Squamata; Agamidae.